AAAUUUUUCUAUGAUUAUAGAUUUUUUUCGUUUCUGGUUCAGAAAGCUUUUGAUUAAUUUGGGCUUUAAUGUAUUUCAAAGUAAAAUUACAUGUUAAUACGUAGUAUUAAUGGCGAGACUCCUGAGGGAGCAGUGCCAGUCGAAGACAGGGGCCCCAACACAGAAGCUGACAUAUAGUCAGCUUACAACAAUGUGCCGGUUGGGGUGGCUGAGACGGCACCCUAGGAAGGGACCCGUCAUCAAAAAUUCUAUUUAUAGAAUUUUACAGUAAUGUGCCAGACGGGCAAAGCGAAGCCAUUCAAUACGAAGUAUUGUAUAAAUAGAGAACAGCAG
Molecule: non-coding RNA, 333 nt
Filed under: Staphylococcus aureus
Lineage: Bacteria; Bacillati; Bacillota; Bacilli; Caryophanales; Staphylococcaceae
Rfam family: S. aureus tsr24 small RNA
Source: RNAcentral